RNAcentral lists this unclassified non-coding RNA (655 nucleotides) under Hevea brasiliensis (rubber tree). The record is from RNAcentral. Lineage: Eukaryota; Viridiplantae; Streptophyta; Magnoliopsida; Malpighiales; Euphorbiaceae.
GGAAAGAGUAAACAAGGGAAGGCUCAAGCUUGUUUUUGGCAAGGUUUAGCCUUAGCCUUAGCAAAUAUGAAAUCUCAAGGUUGAACCAUCUGUUAGAUGUGGAGAGAUCUUUUGGCCAAGUCUAACAAUUUCACUAGCUGAAUUGCUCUACUAUUAAUGAUGGUAAUGGCGUGACUGAAAAUUAUAUUUAUUCAUAAACAUUCAUGAAAUAGCAUAAAUAUCUAUAAAAACAGAUUAAUGAUUGACCUGUAGUUCCCCUGAUAGAGAUUUACAGGAUUUUCCGUUUCCACUAUAUUGAUGAACAUUACACUAGUACUUUUGAAAGUUUAUUUUGUAUCACUCUAAAUGAUUUAAAAUUAGAUUAACACAUUAUUAUAAUUUUCGUUACUUAAAUAGUCAUAAAUAAAAAUUGCAAAUUUAACCUCGUUGUCUUAACUAUGUUUUUGUCAACAUCCAUGCUUAAAUAUAUAUGGAUGAAUAUAGAUAUUGAUUAGUGUUGGUUUUUCCUUAUCAAACUUUGUCUUUUGUUAAGCUGAAGAAAGGAUAUGUUAUUUCAUUGAUGCAUGAUGAAGGAGCAAUGAUUGCACUAUAGUAUCCUCUAAUUGAAAUUUAUAUGCUUUGCAAUUACACAAUACAUCAAAUUGUUGAGUUGGCA